CGUCAUGGCGCGCUACAACGUCUGGGACCACAGCCAUGACAGCCUGCUGCGGAGUUUGGUGUUCUCGGCAUCUGCUGCGAUCAGGGUCCCCAGGCGGUUCCUGUCCCUUCUUGAGCACGGGUGGGAGUCGUGGCUGCGUGGACCGUCCCAGAGUGGCAGGGCUGACUGUUGGCCGGCUUUUCUGGAAGAUGUCCUGGUAAGUGACGUCGUGAAGGCCCCAGUGCCUCCCUUCUGGAACUGGUCCCGCAUUUGUCUGAACCAUUGUUUCGUACGGAAAGUGCUCGCUGAACCUGCUUAGUAGUUCUCUGUCUACAUUGUAGCUCAAAAGUCUUUUCCAAGCCAUAAAAUAACACGGUGAACCAGGCAUGGCGGCCCACGCCGGUAAUCCAGCACCCCCGGAGGCUGGGCCCAGUUUAGGCAGUUUAGCCAGACCCUAUCUCAAAAUAAAAAGGGCUGGGAAUGUAACUCAGUGCAAAGGCCCCGGGUUCAGUCCCCGGUGCCAAGAAAAAGUUGAGACGAACAAGGAAGAAAACGGUGGUUUUUUGGUAACAAUAUGGUCAUAUGAGUUUAAGAAGCACCCUAUUAUGGUGCCACAAGGAAUAAUGGGAAGGUCCAGCUUGUCUGAUCGCCUAAGUGAGAUUACUGCUUGCCCAAAAGAGAACUUUGCUGAGAGUAACCUUGUAGCUGUGGACUCGGAACCAAGCCCAGCACACCUAAUUCAACUCUGGUCUCCUCCCUGCAGUGCUGUGGGCUCUGGGGGUACAGGACUUGGGUGGAUGUGGGUAGUAGCAAGCCUCCAGCGUGCCUGGGUCUGCUGUGACCCUGUGCAUUCCUACAGUGCUUGCUAGAACAGUUUUGAAACGGUUUGAGGCCUUGCCCUGCUCUAUCCAGAGCAAGGUUAUAGAAAUUUCAGACAAUUCUCUGCUCCUUCUGGAUCUGGUGUGUCUCAGUGUGGCAGCCACUUGCCACAUAUGGUGAAGUUAAAGCAAAUAACACGUAAAAUCCGCGUUAUUGUCCACAUAGCCACCCACAUCUUAGGUGUUCAGCAGCCAUGUGUGGCAAGUGACUGGUGUAGAUGGGAGGGACAUAGCUGUCUUUGUAGAUGUUUUGGGCGGGGUCGGCACACAAGCACAGGAAGUUGUUGAGUGUUUACUGGGCUUGGGGCAGAUUUUAUUGUAUCCUUAAAACAAGCUUUACAAGGCCUUGAAAUGAAGCUGGGGGUGGGAGCGGUAAAAGUGGGAGUAGAACCAGAGUAGCAAAGUACAAGAGCAAAGAGCUCUGCCUGAGGUUGGUGGCAAGCAGCCUUUAAAGCCAGACGGCAGAGCAAGAAAACCUUGGCCCCGUUCUGCAGGGCCUGAGUGCUGGGAGCUAGGUUUUUGAGGCAUCUCUAUAAAGUGGUUUUGGGUCUGAGGGACAUGAGCCCACAGUCAGAACAGGAUGCCAGGCAUGGGAGGAAUCUAGAAGGGGAGGGAACUUCCGGUUGGAGGGAAACACCCUUGCAUUCUGGCCCUGGUGCAGGGCUGUUGCGGGUGGUAAGGGAUGGGCUGGCUUGGAAGCUUCAGGAACAGCCGCUGGGUCUGGCACCAUCGACACCUUCUCCAAGUCUCGUGUUUCUGCCAUCGGCAUCCCUGAAGUGGGCAGGCUUCCAUGUUACCUUCGAGGAGGGGAGUCCAAGGCCUCCUUGUCCCUGCCCACACAUAGCUCGGUGGCAGCUGCCAUUCCUUGGUGUUUUCGGCAGCGGCAAUGCCAGGAUUACAGGGCUAGAAAAAACCUGAGCUGAGCCUUGUAUGGCUGUUGGGCUGUCCUAUGGACCCAUCUGGGAAGGCGAUGUGGAUACAGAAGACGCCAGCAGUCACCAAGCGAGGAGGGAGCAGCACUCGCACCUUAACUGAGCAGAUUGAAGCUCACUUGCUCCGAGUGCAGAAGGUAUCAGCAGUUCCAGGUUGGUGUGAGUGUCUUGGGCCCACGUUCUCUGCUCCGGAAUAUGGAGCCUGGCUGUGCCUCAGCCUUUCUGGCAUUUCCUGGAUGAAAGGGCAUUUAAUAAAUAUGACUUUGAAUGUG
Molecule: long non-coding RNA, 2061 nt
Organism: Heterocephalus glaber (naked mole-rat)
Lineage: Eukaryota; Metazoa; Chordata; Mammalia; Rodentia; Bathyergidae
Source: Ensembl